Homo sapiens (human) is the source of this 1132-nucleotide long non-coding RNA. RefSeq lists it as uncharacterized. The record is from RefSeq and is a predicted model, not a curated record. The transcript has 6 exons. Lineage: Eukaryota; Metazoa; Chordata; Mammalia; Primates; Hominidae.
AAACAGAGACUGUUUGACUUCCUCGCUUCCUAUUUGGAUGCCCUUUAUUUCUUUCUCUUCUUAAUUGCCCUUGCCAGGUCUUCCAGCACUAUGAUGAAUAGGUGUGGUGAGCGGGGGCAUCCUUGUCUUGUGCCAGUUUUGAAGGAGAAUGCUUCCAGCUUUUGCCCAUUCAGUAUGAUGCCAGUUGUGGAUUUGUCUUAUACGGUUCUUACUAUUUUGAGGCAGUGUUGGUCUGCAAGCUUCAAGAGCCAGUGACCCUGACUGCCAAGUGAUUUGCCGAAGGGAAUUAUGGUUUUGCAUUUGAUGGUUUCCAGGAACUGCUAAGAGUGAGAUCAUCCCUGAAGCAGUGACUGCCAGAGGAAGGCGAGAGACAUAUGGUGGCCUUACAGGAGAAGAACAUGUCUCAGAGAGCUCCUACUCCUCCAGUUUUGGCCCCAGAAUGAAACACAGGAAGAAGACCUGAAUUUGAUUUGCAUUUCAAAGUAGAACUGUCCCAGCUGACAUGAAGACUGAUGAAUAAGGAAUAAGUAUUUAUUGUUGUAUGUCACUGAUAUUUCUGUGGUCGAUUAUGUGUAGAAGAGCUGACUUGUACACUUACAUAAACUUGAAGAAGACUGAAUUUAGAAAUGGAGUUUCUGCAUAUGGUUAUGUCUGAGUAGCUCCAAGUGGAUCAUCCCUCCCACAGAUAACAACUCUAAACUCUGGACAAAAUAUAAAAAUAACAAUUUCCUGAAUAUCAAAGAGCAACCCAAAUCAUGCAGAUACUGGGUAUUAAGGCUGAAUUUGUCUACACAUCAAACAUGUACCUAGGAGGAAUAUUUGCUCUGUGCCAUCAGCAGUGUAGAAACUAGAAUAACCAGCUGCCGUAUUGUGAGCUGCAUUAUGAAGAGAACCAUGUGGCAAGACACUGAGGGAGAUCUCCAGCCAACAACAACUCAUAAGCAACUAAAUCUUGUGAUGAACCACUGGAGUCAUCUGGAAAGAGGAUCCUCUCACCUUCAAUCUUUGAAAUGGCUAGAGCUCUGAUGACAGUUGGAUUACAGCCUUAGGAGAAACAGAGAGCCGGGGAAAUUUGUGCCCAGGUUCCUUUCCCACAGACAUUGUCAGAUAAUAAAUAUCUCUGCGUUUUUAA